CUCUCGCCGUCAACUGGGCAAACAAAUAAACAUCAAAUAGGUCCUUAAAAUGGGUGCGAGCCCUCCUCUUCCUCUUCAUCCUCUCCUCUGCUCGACCCCUGAAACCAAAUCGCAUUCUCUCAUGUUCAUCAUCUCCUCUGCUCGACCCCAAACCUCGAAAUCACAGCCUCUUUCUCCUUAGCACAACAAGAUCGAGUUCCCAUGACAAUCCAAUUUGCCCAAGGGUGAAUUCACUCCAUGCAUCCAUUAGCGGCCGACUAUGCGACCCAACUGAUGGUUUCGAAAGCCACAAAGCCACAAAACGAAGUUGAUGAGACCCAACUGAUGGUUUCUGAAGCCAAAACGAGAAGUCAAUCACCAUCAAUUGACCAACUAUGCUUUGCACCUCACCAGGAAACGAAGAGUUAGCUGCUAAUUAAUGCAUGCUCUAGGCAUUCAUGCACGACAAUAAGAGUCUCCCGAAACCGAUAAUGAUUGCUUCUUUCCCUACAAAUAACAUAGAUCUCCCUCACGAUGCAUAACGUUGUAGCCUUAACUUGAAAAUUUUAUCUAACAGGAAGGGAGAAGAUGGACAAAAGAGGAAGAGGAAAAAGACGAAGGACGAUUCUGGCUAUGAUUUUGACGAUGAUUUAAGCGAUGAUUCUGACGAUGAUUCAAGCGAUGAUUUUGAUGAUGAUUCAGGUGAUGAUUUUGACAAGUUUCAACACUAUAUCUCUCGCCGCGAACUUGCCCGACUGUUAGGCUAGAGUACCACCCCCUCUACUAAUGAUGAAGAUGAUAAUGUUGAUUUCUUCAUGCUUGAUACUGAUGAUGAUCCACCCUCCCCGAUGUCUAGUGAUGAAGAUGAUGAUCCUGAAUUGAAUGAUUAGUGUUAUUGUUCUCAAUUAUAGUUGUUUCCGCUUAAUCCUUUUGUAAUUUUUCUAUUUAUAAAUGGAAAAUUUUAUAUGAAAUGAAUGGAAUUCAUCUUA
Molecule: non-coding RNA, 968 nt
Organism: Punica granatum (pomegranate)
Lineage: Eukaryota; Viridiplantae; Streptophyta; Magnoliopsida; Myrtales; Lythraceae
Source: RefSeq, a predicted model, not a curated record